UCGGAUCGCAGGCUGCAACCCGCCUGCGUGAAGUUGGAAUCGCUAGUAAUCGCGGAUCAGAAUGCCGCGGUGAAUACGUUCCCGGGUCUUGUACACACCGCCCGUCACACCAUGGGAGUCGGGAAUGCCCGAAGUCAGUGGCCCAACCGGAAGGGGGGAGCUGCCGAAGGCAGGCCCGGUGACUGGGGUGAAGUCGUAACAAGGUAGC
RNAcentral lists this ribosomal RNA (208 nucleotides) under uncultured bacterium. Its description in RNAcentral is "partial 16S ribosomal RNA". It matches the Rfam family "Bacterial small subunit ribosomal RNA", at positions 1293 to 1500 of the family's 1533-position model. The record is from RNAcentral.